This 253-nucleotide ribosomal RNA is filed under the name uncultured bacterium. RNAcentral describes it as "partial 16S ribosomal RNA". It matches the Rfam family "Bacterial small subunit ribosomal RNA", at positions 524 to 776 of the family's 1533-position model. The record is from RNAcentral.
AACGUAGGACGCAAGCGUUAUCCGGAGUUACUGGGCGUAAAGCGCGGGCAGGCGGCUCGAAACGUCUGAUGUGAAAUCUCCUCGCUCAACGGGGAGAGGCCAUUGGAAACGGUCGAGCUGGAGGGCAGUAGAGGUAGGCGGAAUUCCGGGUGGAGUGGUGAAAUGCGUAGAGAUCCGGAGGAACACCAGAGGCGAAGGCGGCCUACUGGGCUGCACCUGACGCUGAGACGCGAAAGCCAGGGGAGCGAACGGG